UACGGAGGAUGCGAGCGUUAUCCGGAGUUAUUGGGUUUAAAGGGUGCGUAGGCGGACUGUCAAGUCAGCGGUAAAAUUGAGAGGCUCAACCUCUUCCCGCCGUUGAAACUGGUGGUCUUGAGUGGAUGAGAAGUACGCGGAAUGCGUGGUGUAGCGGUGAAAUGCAUAGAUAUCACGCAGAACUCCGAUUGCGAAGGCAGCGUACCGGCAUCCAACUGACGCUGAGGCACGAAAGCGUGGGGAUCAAACAGG
This 252-nucleotide ribosomal RNA is filed under the name uncultured bacterium. RNAcentral describes it as "partial 16S ribosomal RNA". It matches the Rfam family "Bacterial small subunit ribosomal RNA", at positions 524 to 776 of the family's 1533-position model. The record is from RNAcentral.